AGUGAACGCUGGCGGCAGGCCUAACACAUGCAAGUCGAGCGGAAGCACGGUAAGAGCUCGUUCUUACUGGUGGCGACUGGCGGGUGGGUGAGACGUACAUAGCCAUCUACUUUUUCGUGGGGGAUAACGUGGGGACACAUACGAUAAUAGCGCAUACGUUGUACGGGUGAAAGCAGGGGAUCUUAGGACCUUGGGUGAUUCUAUGAGACGAUGUCGGGUUAGCUAGUUGGCUGGGUAAAGGCCCACCAAGGCGACGAUACGUAGCUGGUCUGAGAGGAUGAUCAGCCACACUGGAACUGAGACACGGUCCAGACUCCUACGGGAGGCAGCAGUGGGGAAUAUUGGACAAUGGGCGCAAGCCUGAUCCAGCCAUGCCGCGUGUGUGAAGAAGGUCUUCGGAUUGUAAAGCCCUGUUAUUAGGGAAGAAGAGCAGUAGGUUAAUACCUCGCUGUUUUGACGGUACCCAAAGAAUAAGCACCGGCUAACUUCGUG
Molecule: ribosomal RNA, 492 nt
Filed under: uncultured bacterium
Lineage: Bacteria
Description: partial 16S ribosomal RNA
Rfam family: Bacterial small subunit ribosomal RNA
Source: RNAcentral